This 73-nucleotide transfer RNA is filed under the name Ochromonas sp. CCMP1393. Its description in RNAcentral is "tRNA-Thr". It matches the Rfam family "tRNA". Rfam says of the family: Transfer RNA (tRNA) molecules are approximately 80 nucleotides in length. Their secondary structure includes four short double-helical elements and three loops (D, anti-codon, and T loops). Further hydrogen bonds mediate the characteristic L-shaped molecular structure. tRNAs have two regions of fundamental functional importance: the anti-codon, which is responsible for specific mRNA codon recognition, and the 3' end, to which the tRNAs corresponding amino acid is attached (by aminoacyl-tRNA synthetases). tRNAs cope with the degeneracy of the genetic code in two manners: having more than one tRNA (with a specific anti-codon) for a particular amino acid; and 'wobble' base-pairing, i.e. permitting non-standard base-pairing at the 3rd anti-codon position. The record is from RNAcentral. Lineage: Eukaryota; Chrysophyceae; Chromulinales; Chromulinaceae.
GCUGGUAUAGCUCAAUUGGUAGAGCGCCUGACUUGUAAUCAGGAGGUUGCGGGUUCAAUUCCCUCUACUAGCU